RNAcentral lists this ribosomal RNA (253 nucleotides) under uncultured bacterium. Its description in RNAcentral is "partial 16S ribosomal RNA". It matches the Rfam family "Bacterial small subunit ribosomal RNA", at positions 524 to 776 of the family's 1533-position model. The record is from RNAcentral.
UACGUAGGGUGCAAGCGUUAAUCGGAAUUACUGGGCGUAAAGCGUGCGCAGGCGGUGAUGUAAGACAGAUGUGAAAUCCCCGGGCUCAACCUGGGAACUGCAUUUGUGACUGCAUCGCUGGAGUACGGCAGAGGGGGAUGGAAUUCCGCGUGUAGCAGUGAAAUGCGUAGAUAUGCGGAGGAACACCGGUGGCGAAGGCGGCGACCCGGGUCGAUACUGACGCUGAUGCGCGAAAGCGUGGGGAGCAAACAGG